UUCAGGUUAAUCAUGUCCUACACGAGAGCGGUGCAAUAUUUUCAAUCGACACUGGAUUUGCGCUUCAUACCACAAACCAUGCUCGCGAAACCAAGCUCAAACCGAUUGUCAUCACAUGUAAUUUGUCUCUCCUAAAACCCAUGCGGGAACUCUUACGAUCCAAUUGGAACACCAUUAACAAGGCCUGGCAGCUAAAUGUGAGACUUCGGCGGCUUUAAUUACAGACGGCACAAUCGAAAAAUUGAUCUCCGAAAAUAAAUUUGAAAUAAAAUUAAAGAGAAA
This is a long non-coding RNA of Glossina fuscipes, 282 nucleotides long. RefSeq lists it as uncharacterized. The transcript is spliced from 2 exons. NCBI's taxonomy places the organism in Eukaryota, Metazoa, Arthropoda, Insecta, Diptera, Glossinidae. The record is from RefSeq and is a predicted model, not a curated record.